GAUGAACGCUAGCUACAGGCUUAACACAUGCAAGUCGAGGGGCAGCGCAGUGUAGCAAUACAUGGGCGGCGACCGGCGCACGGGUGCGUAACGCGUAUCCAACCUUCCCGUUACUCAGGGAUAGCCUUCCGAAAGGGAGAUUAAUACCUGAUGGUGUUUGAAUUCCGCAUGUUAUUCAAACUAAAGAUUUAUCGGUAACGGAUGGGGAUGCGUGACAUUAGAUAGUAGGCGGGGUAACGGCCCACCUAGUCUACGAUGUCUAGGGGUUCUGAGAGGAAGGUCCCCCCACACUGGAACUGAGACACGGUCCAGACUCCUACGGGAGGCAGCAGUGAGGAAUAUUGGGUCAAUGGUCUGACGACUGAACCAGCCAUGCCGCGUGAAGGUCACGGGCCCUAUGGGUCUUAAACUUCUUUUGUAAGGGAGCAAUAAGUCUCACGUGUGGGAUGAUGAGAGUACCUUACGAAUAAGCAUCGGCC
Molecule: ribosomal RNA, 479 nt
Filed under: uncultured bacterium
Lineage: Bacteria
Description: bacterial SSU rRNA
Rfam family: Bacterial small subunit ribosomal RNA
Source: RNAcentral